AACCAGAUUAGGUUUUUGUUACUCUGUGCAACAGCAGCUAGUUUCUGUCUAGGUGAUGAGAUUUUUGGAAGUGCAAGUCCAUUAAUUUUACUUUUUUUCGCACAUGUCACACUUUCAAUGUGAAGACUAUUUUGGAUUGAAACAAAUGUUUCAGUGUUUUACUGUUUUUUCAGUUCCAACUUUAUUCUGUUCUUUGGCUUAUCUUUUGGUUUGUUACGUUGUAUGUAGCGUGUCGUUGUUAUGUAGGGGACGGCACUCUUGACGGCAUUUACUUGUAUGUAUGGAAGAUUGGCGACAAAUCGGGUCUUGCAUUCGACUGUUGACCUGUCUGAUUGUAAUACGAUGAGUUUGAACAAGACAAACGGUAAGAGCUGAAAAAUCAUUUUAAUGUGAAAUCUAGUUGAUAUCUGUGUUUAAGGAGCUAUUUGGGAAACUGAGUUAGAAGUUAGAAUAGUGUAGAAUAUGUACUAAAAUAUUGUUUCAGAACUGAAAUGGUGUUACAUUUUGGAUGGAUCUUACUGUAAUCAAAUAAGUGUAAGAUAUUAAACAAUGUCUUUUUGUUUCAGAACUGUAGUAACGCGGGCUGGUGGACCAUAGUACUCGAUGUGUAGUAGGGAUAGCUAUUGGAUGUCAUGCUUGUAUUCCUGUUUGUCCUAUCAACUCAUUCAUCCAAUAUGUAAAGAAAAUUAUAUUAUAAGGAAGGAAGCAGCUUAGGGAUUUGAUAAUUAUGUUGUUUGGAGUCCUGGUUAGCAUAACUAUAUUUUUGGUGAAAUCAAGACUUCAUGGGGGUAUAUAUACAAAUAUUCUCAAUUUGAAAAUUACAUCUUUCAAAUCAUGCUACAUUUACUAAUGGAUUGUUCCUGUCCGAUAAAGCCUGUUUAGAAGAUGGACAAAGUGAUAUUUUAGAGGCAUGUCAGGAGUCGUUGGCUGGGUUGUGUUGAUAAACGGACUGCACUCAGUACUAUUAGUACUAGCCGAUGUUGCAUCGUCUAGUAUUUCUGUCUGAGAUCCUGUUGCAACUGGUUCGCGGCAAGUCAUGGUUCCGAUAUCCUUUGGUGGAGGUAAGAUCAGCCCGCCAACGUAGAAGGAAUAAUGACGUUGGGGUAACACACCAAGAGUUCUAGCCCUUCGAUGCAUAAUGAGGCAAGCACAAAGUAAAAUUAGCACUAUGAAGCAAGGACCACCGAUCACUACAAGAAGCCAAAGCCAAUAUUUAUCCGCCAUUAGUCGGCUACUAACACUAGGACAAUAACUGCACUAUUUUUUUUCCCGUCUUUUUGUGCAAGCGAUGGAGUAAUAGGUCCUGGCGUUAGGAAGACUGUCGAAGGAUACAGCUUCUUUCCUCUAACGUAUCACGAAAAUCUGAACGAUUCGGUUAACCUCAUCUGAGCCGGGAAGUGGGCACGUGAGAACUCAGUAGUAGCAGUUACGUCACCAGUUCGAGUUGGGCUCGAUUAGAUGCGGAUUAUAUAUUUUUUUCUUGAUCUAGCACAAUUAAACUAUGUGAGAAGUGAAUUGUAUUGAAAAUGGUAUUCGGUAGUUCAGUUUUGGGAUAGCUAACCAACUUCUUGUAAGACCAUCUUAUUUAUAAAUAUUUUUUGACAAGUGUUUGGGUAGGUUAACUUGGUCUUGUUUUUAAAACUUUUCGAUUUCUUUUCUAGUGACGUCGUAUUCACGUGGGUUGUUAUUGUAAGUCUUAAGGUGAGUAAGGGUUGGGAAAUGGAUUCGAUUGUUCUGUCAGAUGAGCUCUUUAGAGACAGCUGAAUGGGUCAAGAUGAGUCAAUUUAUGUAUAAGAGAAUAGAAAGUUGUGUCGUGAAUAUAAAUAAGGUACGAUGUUAUUUAUAUAUACAAUGUAUAUAUGUUUGAGAAACAAAGUAAUUACUUGAGUCAUUGUAAAAUUUUACAGUUGGUUAUUGGCCAACUGGUUUAUUUCGACUUUUCUUGGAUAUCGUUAGCGCGUAGGAUUCUUUCGCCUUAGAUGCAUUUACGUCUUAGAUGUAUAUAAAUAAAAAAAUACCAGGAUACAAUAAAAAUAAUUUAGAAUGUCUUAGUAGAACUAAUAUUCAAUUAAAUUAGAACUAUUCAUUAAAUUCAGUUGUCCUGAAUUUAUAUAUUAAAAAAGCGGGUUUCUGUUCACUAAUUCUUAAUCAAUUAAUGGAAAUUGAAAUAGAUUAAUCAGGCAAUAGCGAUUAUACGGAUGGCGCUUAUAAAAACGUGUGAUCAGUGGAAUUGAUUUACUCAUUUCUUCCAAAUUGAGUCCAUGAAUAAAUACACUUUUAAAUUCUAAAUAUAAAUUGAAAGUAUGUGUAUUGUAUAUACUGCGGAAAAGUACAUUUUAAAAAAUGCUUGGGUAAUGUUUGCCGCCAGAAAAUGCAGACUAAACGAACAAGUCAUUCAGUUCAGUUGCUUCAUGGCGCACACGUGGAACAUUAUUCGUACUGGCAUUUUUUGUUACUGAAUCAGUGUUAAUGUGACGAAUUUUAAGCAAAUAUUUAUUUUUAUUUGAGAAUAAAGUAAACAGUGAUCCUAUUUACGAUUAUGCAGCUUACUGAAAAAAUAAAACAAUAUGGUUUUCUCAUUUGAGAACAAAGUGUCCAAACAUGAACUUGAUUUGGUGGUUUCUUCAAUAGUUAGGCUGAUAAUAAAAGUGAAGCAGGAAUUGGAUGAUGGUGCAAAGCAAGUGCUUUGUACCAUACUGGACAAAAAGUAUCAGUUCUUUGUGCAAUGAAAAUUGUUGCCAUUCCACACUCACAUGCAGUAUGACACGUUUCCGAGAGAUGGUUUGACGUCAUCCGAUAUCGUGGAGUAAUCUGAGGGGUUUGCACAUUUCUUAAUAACUGCUUCCUCAUUUUUUAUCGUACCCAUCUUACAGGGCAUUUUUGGAUCACAAUUCCAAAAUCAUUAAAAUUAUGUUGUGAAAAAUUAAUGCGAUAAAAUGAUGUCAUUGUAUUCGCAACAGAAUGACAGGCAAAAGCACAAAGAGAACAAGAGGGAAAUAUAGUCGAAAGAAAUGCUACAAUAGUAAAAUUGUUAACAUUUUAGUAGCGUCCUUGGGUCUGGGCGGAAGCUGGCUGAGGAGCAGCGUACACCUGCUGCUGCUGGGCUGUAGCGGGAGCAGCGAAGGUUUGCUGUUGGGGAGCAGCGAAAGUCUGUUGCUGGGGAGCAGUGAAAGUCUGUUGCUGGGGAGCAGCGAAAGUCUGUUGCUGGGGAGCAGCGAAGGUCUGUUGCUGGGCAGCGGCGAAGGUCUGUUGCUGGGCAGCGGCAGGAGCAACAGAUUCGGCAACGGAUGAAGAUGCAGCUGGUGCUUGAUGAGCGGAUGCGGCAGGGUUGAUGGUGAUGCAAGAGCAGAUCUGUUGGGUAGUUGUUGGUGCAACUGGCAUAACCGGGCUGGCUGCUGGUCUGGAUUGCUCAGCAGUGAAUGCUGGGCUAGCUGCGGGUCUCUGCUGCUCAAGAGGAAGUGCUCCAAUAUUCGAGACGGUUUGUUGGCUCUGGCUAGAAUACGACUGACCACCCAGCAUUCCGCUCAAACCAGUACUUCCCGAUUGGGAUCCCUGGUUGCUUGAAGAUCUGUAGGAGUUGAAAACAGCAUUACUUUACGGCUGUGAAGUAAAAUAACAUGAAUGUUUGCCAACUUACUGAGACGCAUACUGGCCGGAGCAGGCAACAGCCAACAUGGCGCACAUCACAACAACCUAAAUCAGGAGAGAAUCAUUCAGAAUUAAAUAGUUUCCAUUUGAGCAGGGACAAUUAAAAAACUGUACUUACGGUUUUGAAGGUGUUCAUCUUGAGGAGGAAGUUUGAGUAUUGAACUGGAAAACUUGUAAAGGUGAACUGAUGUCUUUCCAUGAAAAUGCAGCACCUUUAUAUAGUCCGGUACAGGCCCAGUCAACCACCACGGAACAGUUAGUUGCCAUGUACCAGAAAAAAGGAGAAAUACUGCGAGAUCGUGUAAAACUAUUGAACGGGUCAGCCAACCAAACAGCGAGCAAGGUCAACUUGUUGCUACGCCAACUAAAUCUCCCGUUUAAUUUUGACAAGAGAAAGCUAUUUCCAAGCUACGACUAUGCAAACUAGCACAACUGAAAGAUUUUUACAGCAUCGCUCAGUAUUUUGUCUUGCACUGCUUCUUUUAUGAUACCGCUGCACGCUGCAUCUGCUGCCAAAAUAUCUUUUGGCAUCUUUUCAUGGAUGAUAGGAUCUCUUCAGGGGAUUGCGUUAUCUUUCUGGAUAUUUUAUAGAUAAGAAAGAUUCUUCAGUUGAUUUCAACAUUACAGAGACGUUAUAUUUAUGGAGCCCACUGUCCAGCGGAAUGGGAAUGGAAUUCUCGUGUUUAUCUACCUGAAGGUUCAGCCUGAAAAUUAAAGCAGUUGCCUACAUAAUCUGGUUUGCAUGUCUCAACGCUUCUAAUCAACCUCAGAAUGACGUAAUGAGCCAACAGUUUUUUAACGGAAAGCUCUUUACCAAACAACUAGACAGGAUUUCGAAAUGCAAAAACUGCAAGUCCUGCUACACAAUUUCUUCCCCGAAAUUAUAGCAUUGAGCAAACGCAUCCAGGUAUACAUUUAACAUAAAACUGCUCGGCUUUUCGAAAAAACGAAAACCCCCGAAAAGCUUGUGGGAUGAUCCUACGUACUGUACGGCACGCAGAAAUUAAUUCCGAAGGAAUUUUUCUCCCUGGAGCUUUACGUUUAGGUUAAAGUUAUUUCCGUAUGGUAAAGAACCACCCGGAAAGGAAAACAACGUUGGCUGUAAUGCAACGCAGUAGAAUAUUCUGCGCAGUUAGUUAUUUUCAUAAUUUAUUAGUAGACGGCAUCACAAGGAAGUGAGUGCAAAAUACAUA
Daphnia magna is the source of this 4841-nucleotide long non-coding RNA. RefSeq lists it as uncharacterized. The transcript is spliced from 10 exons. Lineage: Eukaryota; Metazoa; Arthropoda; Branchiopoda; Diplostraca; Daphniidae. The record is from RefSeq and is a predicted model, not a curated record.